RNAcentral lists this ribosomal RNA (401 nucleotides) under uncultured bacterium. RNAcentral's name for it is "bacterial SSU rRNA". It matches the Rfam family "Bacterial small subunit ribosomal RNA", at positions 969 to 1392 of the family's 1533-position model. The record is from RNAcentral.
CCUUACCAACCCUUGACAUCCUGUGCUACAUCCAGAGAUGGAUGGUUCCCUUCGGGGACGCAGUGACAGGUGCUGCAUGGCUGUCGUCAGCUCGUGUCGUGAGAUGUUCGGUUAAGUCCGGCAACGAGCGCAACCCACAUCCUUAGUUGCCAGCAGUUCGGCUGGGCACUCUAAGGAAACUGCCCGUGAUAAGCGGGAGGAAGGUGUGGAUGACGUCAAGUCCUCAUGGCCCUUACGGGUUGGGCUACACACGUGCUACAAUGGCAGUGACAAUGGGUUAAUCCCCAAAAAACUGUCUCAGUUCGGAUUGUCGUCUGCAACUCGACGGCAUGAAGUCGGAAUCGCUAGUAAUGGCGUAACAGCAUGACGCGGUGAAUACGUUCCCGGGUCUGUACACACCG